GAUUAUUUAGUUUAUAAAAAUAUAAAAUUGCAAAUUUUAUGAUGCGCUAAGCAAUAGUCU
This 60-nucleotide transfer RNA is filed under the name Cypridopsis vidua. RNAcentral's name for it is "tRNA-Cys". The record is from RNAcentral. Lineage: Eukaryota; Metazoa; Arthropoda; Ostracoda; Podocopida; Cyprididae.